RNAcentral lists this ribosomal RNA (625 nucleotides) under uncultured bacterium. Its description in RNAcentral is "bacterial SSU rRNA". It matches the Rfam family "Bacterial small subunit ribosomal RNA", at positions 59 to 675 of the family's 1533-position model. The record is from RNAcentral.
CAGUCGAGCGGUAACAGAUCUAGCUUGCUAGAUGCUGACGAGCGGCGGACGGGUGAGUAACGCGUAGGAAUCUACCGAGUAGUGGGGGAUAGCCCAGAGAAAUUUGGAUUAAUACCGCAUACGCCCUACGGGGGAAAGGAGGGGAUCUUCGGACCUUUCGCUAUUUGAUGAGCCUGCGUAAGAUUAGCUAGUUGGUAGGGUAAAGGCCUACCAAGGCGACGAUCUUUAGCUGUUCUGAGAGGAUGAUCAGCCACACUGGGACUGAGACACGGCCCAGACUCCUACGGGAGGCAGCAGUGGGGAAUAUUGGACAAUGGGGGCAACCCUGAUCCAGCCAUGCCGCGUGUGUGAAGAAGGCCUUCGGGUUGUAAAGCACUUUCAGAUGUGAGGAAAGGUUAGUAGCUAAUAACUGCUAGCUGUGACGUUAACAUCAGAAGAAGGACCGGCUAACUCCGUGCCAGCAGCCGCGGUAAUACGGAGGGUCCGAGCGUUAAUCGGAAUUACUGGGCGUAAAGCGCGCGUAGGCGGCUAAGUCAGUCAGAUGUGAAAGCCCCGGGCUCAACCUGGGAAUUGCACCUGAUACUGCUUGGCUAGAGUACAGAAGAGGGUGGUGGAAUUUCCUGUG